Molecule: ribosomal RNA, 113 nt
Filed under: Proteus mirabilis
Lineage: Bacteria; Pseudomonadati; Pseudomonadota; Gammaproteobacteria; Enterobacterales; Morganellaceae
Source: RNAcentral
CUUGGUGGCCAUAGCGCGGUGGUCCCACCUGAUCCCAUGCCGAACUCAGAAGUGAAACGCCGUAGCGCCGAUGGUAGUGUGGGGUCUCCCCAUGUGAUGCCGUUCUGUCGUAC